RNAcentral lists this transfer RNA (82 nucleotides) under Talaromyces stipitatus ATCC 10500. RNAcentral's name for it is "tRNA-Ser (AGA) (tRNA-Ser-AGA-2-1)". It matches the Rfam family "tRNA". Rfam says of the family: Transfer RNA (tRNA) molecules are approximately 80 nucleotides in length. Their secondary structure includes four short double-helical elements and three loops (D, anti-codon, and T loops). The record is from Rfam by way of RNAcentral. Lineage: Eukaryota; Fungi; Ascomycota; Eurotiomycetes; Eurotiales; Trichocomaceae.
GGCGAGGUGGCAGAGUGGUCUAAUGCGCUAGACUAGAAAUCUAGUUCCUUCGGGAGCGUGUGUUCGAAUCACACCCUCGUCG